GCUUAAGAGGCAUGAAAUUGUAAACAUAACACCCAGCCAGUGUCCCAGUCAGUAGCCACUCUGCCACUCUUUCUCCAGAAUGAAAUACUAGAUGGUUUUAUCGGGGCUCUUCAAUCCCAGUGAAGGGAUAAUGAAGACUAUAGACCCCACCCCUGUCUUUCUGAAAUGUUGAUGGUUUGUGACCAAGCAGCAUUUUUAUGCCAUGUGCCAUUUUCAGACUGGAGAAGGAAAAGGUGCAAGGAUGUCAUGUUCCAAAUACAUACUUCACAUCUCCCCCCACCCAGAAUUGCUGCACAGAAGCAGAAAUCCGGGCAAGCAGGCAUGCCCUGUUGAUAGAUGAAAAGAAGAUAUCCAAAGCCAUGGUCAGACCCACAGUUCUUCCAAUAUGCAGAUAGUGACACAGAUUAAAACUUGUCCUGCCAAAGACAGAUCCCCUCCCUGAAGAUCUUACGUUCUGAAUUUGAACAGUGAAAGAAAAUAUCAAGGGAUAGGAGGGACAAGGAAAAUAAUAGAAAGAAGGGAGGAGCGAGAGAGGGGAGACUAGCAAGAUCUGGAUGCCAACAAUGUUGUUAACAUAUUUUUCCCAAGCAUUUGACCCUCUUCACACCUCUUUUGUUGUCACAGUGUGUUUCUCAUUGCAUAUUCUUUCUUCCCCUAUUGUUCUCCAAUAUAUCUUCCUCUGAGAAAUCCCAUGCACUGUGCUCCACAGAAAUGAUGAAGGGGAACAAAGCUGUAUCCACGGAAGGAUCCAUCACCAAGCAAGUAGUUUGUGCCCACCUCUUCGGGCUUGGUGUUGAUCAGAGCAAGAGCACUUUAUAGUCACAAUGUGUGAGCAUUAUCCAAAGACGAAUUUAGUGAGCCAAUGUGUAGCCAGACUCCUCCUUACAUUUUAUAAUUACUUUGAUUGAUGCUGCAAUCAGGCUCGAUAAAGGAAAAUCCCAAACUGUGUAAUUGUGAGCCUGGCCCUGCAUUGGUUUCAGCUCAUUAAUGAAAGUGUCACCCAUAAUUAUUAUGCCUAAAAAAGCAUUUUAUAUGCACAGUGACACACUUCAGGGUGUGUGAUCACUGUGUCAUAGGCACACUUCUCAGGUGCUGGUAACACUCGAACUUUGACCUUGCUCCUCACAAUUUCAUCUCAGCCAUGCUUCAAUGGCAUUAUAGGCUUAUGCUCUCUGCUGAUG
Long non-coding RNA from Sceloporus undulatus (fence lizard), 1181 nucleotides. RefSeq lists it as uncharacterized. The transcript has 5 exons. The record is from RefSeq and is a predicted model, not a curated record. NCBI's taxonomy places the organism in Eukaryota, Metazoa, Chordata, Lepidosauria, Squamata, Phrynosomatidae.